This 253-nucleotide ribosomal RNA is filed under the name uncultured bacterium. RNAcentral's name for it is "partial 16S ribosomal RNA". It matches the Rfam family "Bacterial small subunit ribosomal RNA", at positions 524 to 776 of the family's 1533-position model. The record is from RNAcentral.
UACGAAGGGGGCUAGCGUUGCUCGGAAUCACUGGGCGUAAAGCGCACGUAGGCGGCUUUUUAAGUCAGGGGUGAAAUCCUGGAGCUCAACUCCAGAACUGCCUUUGAUACUGAGGAUCUUGAGUUCGGGAGAGGUGAGUGGAACUGCGAGUGUAGAGGUGAAAUUCGUAGAUAUUCGCAAGAACACCGGUGGCGAAGGCGGCUCACUGGCCCGAUACUGACGCUGAGGCACGAAAGCGUGGGGAGCAAACAGG